Molecule: ribosomal RNA, 196 nt
Filed under: uncultured bacterium
Lineage: Bacteria
Description: partial 16S ribosomal RNA
Rfam family: Bacterial small subunit ribosomal RNA
Source: RNAcentral
CUGCAACUCGCCUGCAUGAAGUCGGAAUUGCUAGUAAUCGUGGAUCAGCAUGCCACGGUGAAUACGUUCCCGGGCCUUGUACACACCGCCCGUCACACCAUGGGAGUCGGUAACACCCGAAGCCUGUAGUCUAACCGCAAGGAGGACGCAGUCGAAGGUGGGAUUGAUGACUGGGGUGAAGUCGUAACAAGGUAAC